This 329-nucleotide long non-coding RNA is filed under the name Salvia miltiorrhiza (redroot sage). RNAcentral describes it as "long non-coding RNA (SMIL_LNC012618)". Lineage: Eukaryota; Viridiplantae; Streptophyta; Magnoliopsida; Lamiales; Lamiaceae. The record is from RNAcentral.
UUUGUACUAUUUUAUUCACAUGUCUCUUCAUUUUUCUUCUUUUCUUUUUGAGCUUAUAGGGGACUAGUGAUUUUCACUCAAUCGAAGUUUGACAAGCAAUUUCAAUCAUUUUCCAACCAUUUUCAUCAAAGCAACCACUAACAUUCUAAGUUCUACCCCUUUAUCAUUGGUUCAUUAAAAGAAAGGAUACAAGGCACGAAAGGGGUAAACUAGGAUCAAAUGAGAAUUUGGACACAAUUUGAGUUAAGUGGCUAACAAAGAUGGCCUUAAAUCACUUCAAUAUUAACAACACAUCUACUUUUAUUUUCUAAGAAAGGACUCAUGGCAAG